AAGCCAUGAUGAGGGCAUUGUCUUUGUAGACUCUUGAAUUUGUCUCAUGCUUCAAAUAACGACUCUCCAUCAGUCUGAGCAAAAUUUGUUAUGCAAUUCCUCAUGU
Small nucleolar RNA from Zingiber officinale, 106 nucleotides. NCBI's taxonomy places the organism in Eukaryota, Viridiplantae, Streptophyta, Magnoliopsida, Zingiberales, Zingiberaceae. The record is from RefSeq and is a predicted model, not a curated record.